GUGAGAGCUUUCUCAUGAUGACAGAGGAUAAAACAGAUGGCAUCGAUCCCUAUAUUUAAACCUCCAUCGUUCAAUGCAUUAUAAAGAACUUCAAGUUUUCGAUUAAAUGAGGUGUAUUUUUCUAAUUUUUCUAUCACAUUUGCAAUAAAGCAUUUAUCUUGAAAUUGAUUGUAAAUUUGCUUAAAUAACUUGCUAGCAAUAGUUGUUUUUCCU
RNAcentral lists this unclassified non-coding RNA (213 nucleotides) under Hevea brasiliensis (rubber tree). The record is from RNAcentral. Lineage: Eukaryota; Viridiplantae; Streptophyta; Magnoliopsida; Malpighiales; Euphorbiaceae.